AUUGAACGCUGGCGGCAGGCCUAAUACAUGCAAGUCGAGCGGAUGAACGGAGCUCGCUCUUGGCUUCAGCGGCGGACGGGCGAGUAAUGCCUACGAAUCUGCCUGGUAGAGGGGGCUAACGUCCGGAAACGGGCGCUAAUACCGCAUACGUCCUGAGGGAGAAAGUGGGGGAUCUUCGGACCUCACGCUAUUUGAUGAGCCUAGGUCGGAUUAGCUAGUUGGUGGGGUAAAGGCCUACCAAGGCGACGAUCCGUAACUGGUCUGAGAGGAUGAUCAGUCACACUGGAACUGAGACACGGUCCAGACUCCUACGGGAGGCAGCAGUGGGGAAUAUUGGACAAUGGGCGAAAGCCUGAUCCAGCCAUGCCGCGUGUGUGAAGAAGGUCUUCGGAUUGUAAAGCACUGUAAGUUGGGAGGAAGGGCAGUAAGUGAAUACCUUGCUGUUUUGACGUUACCAACAGAAUAAGCACCGGCUAACUUCGUG
This 484-nucleotide ribosomal RNA is filed under the name uncultured bacterium. Its description in RNAcentral is "partial 16S ribosomal RNA". It matches the Rfam family "Bacterial small subunit ribosomal RNA", at positions 30 to 507 of the family's 1533-position model. The record is from RNAcentral.